GAUGAACGCUGGCGGCGUGCUUAACACAUGCAAGUCGAACGGAGAAGCGCCAGCUUGCUGGAGUGGAUCAGUGGCGAACGGGUGAGUAACACGUGAGCAACCUGCCCCUGACACUGGGAUAACAGCCGGAAACGGCUGCUAAUACCGGAGAUGCACCAUUAACGCAUGUUCUGUGGAGGGAAAAGUUUGUCUGGCGGGGAUGGUCUCGUGGCGUAUCAGCGUGUUGGUGAGGUGAUAGCUCACCAAGGUGUCGACGGGUAGCCGGCCUGAGGGGGUGACCGGCCACACUGGGACUGAGACACGGACCAGACUCCUACGGGAGGCAGCAGUGGGGAAUCUUGCACAAUGGGCGAACGCCUGAUGCAGAAACGCCGCGUGCGUGAUGACGGCCUUCGGGUUGUAAACCUCUUUUAGCAGGGAAGAAGCGAGAGUGACGGUACCUGCAGAAAAAGCGCCGGCUAACUACGUG
This 469-nucleotide ribosomal RNA is filed under the name uncultured bacterium. RNAcentral describes it as "partial 16S ribosomal RNA". It matches the Rfam family "Bacterial small subunit ribosomal RNA", at positions 28 to 507 of the family's 1533-position model. The record is from RNAcentral.